Molecule: ribosomal RNA, 564 nt
Filed under: Xylariaceae sp. SLM6
Lineage: Eukaryota; Fungi; Ascomycota; Sordariomycetes; Xylariales; Xylariaceae
Description: eukaryotic LSU rRNA
Rfam family: 5.8S ribosomal RNA (bases 223-376)
Source: RNAcentral
UUUGGAAGUAAAAAUCGUAACAAGGUCUCCGUAGGUGAACCUGCGGAGGGAUCAUUACACAAAUAUGAAGGCGGGCUGGAACCUCUCGGGGUUACAGCCUUGCUGAAUUAUUCACCCUUGUCUUUUGCGUACUUCUUGUUUCCUUGGUGGGUUCGCCCACCACUAGGACAAACAUAAACCUUUUGUAAUUGCAAUCAGCGUCAGUAACAAAUUAAUAAUUACAACUUUCAACAACGGAUCUCUUGGUUCUGGCAUCGAUGAAGAACGCAGCGAAAUGCGAUAAGUAGUGUGAAUUGCAGAAUUCAGUGAAUCAUCGAAUCUUUGAACGCACAUUGCGCCCUUUGGUAUUCCAAAGGGCAUGCCUGUUCGAGCGUCAUUUGUACCCUCAAGCUUUGCUUGGUGUUGGGCGUCUUGUCUCUAGCUUUGCUGGAGACUCGCCUUAAAGUAAUUGGCAGCCGGCCUACUGGUUUCGGAGCGCAGCACAAGUCGCACUCUCUAUCAGCAAAGGUCUAGCAUCCAUUAAGCCUUUUUUUCAACUUUGACCUCGGAUCAGGUAGCUCCCAU